GCAGUCGAACGGUGAAGCCCCGCUUGCGGGGUGGAUCAGUGGCGAACGGGUGAGUAACACGUGAGCAACCUGCCCCUGACUCUGGGAUAAGCGCUGGAAACGGCGUCUAAUACUGGAUACGAGACGUGAUCGCAUGGUCAACGUUUGGAAAGAUUUUUCGGUUGGGGAUGGGCUCGCGGCCUAUCAGCUUGUUGGUGAGGUAAUGGCUCACCAAGGCGUCGACGGGUAGCCGGCCUGAGAGGGUGACCGGCCACACUGGGACUGAGACACGGCCCAGACUCCUACGGGAGGCAGCAGUGGGGAAUAUUGCACAAUGGGCGCAAGCCUGAUGCAGCAACGCCGCGUGAGGGAUGACGGCCUUCGGGUUGUAAACCUCUUUUAGCAGGGAAGAAGCGAGAGUGACGGUACCUGCAGAAAAAGCACCGGCUAACUACGUGCCAGCAGCCGCGGUAAUACGUAGGGUGCAAGCGUUAUCCGGAAUUAUUGGGCGUAAAGAGCUCGUAGGCGGUUUGUCGCGUCUGCUGUGAAAUCUGGGGGCUCAACCCCCAGCCUGCAGUGGGUACGGGCAGACUAGAGUGCGGUAGGGGAGAUUGGAAUUCCUGGUGUAGCGGUGGAAUGCGCAGAUAUCAGGAGGAACACCGAUGGCGAAGGCAGAUCUCUGGGCCGUAACUGACGCUGAGGAGCGAAAGGGUGGGGAGCAAACAGGCUUAGAUACCCUGGUAGUCCACCCCGUAAACGUUGGGAACUAGUUGUGGGGUCCAUUCCACGGAUUCCGUGACGCAGCUAACGCAUUAAGUUCCCCGCCUGGGGAGUACGGCCGCAA
RNAcentral lists this ribosomal RNA (823 nucleotides) under Microbacterium sp. TCA3-11_Pa. RNAcentral describes it as "bacterial SSU rRNA". It matches the Rfam family "Bacterial small subunit ribosomal RNA", at positions 57 to 891 of the family's 1533-position model. The record is from RNAcentral. Lineage: Bacteria; Bacillati; Actinomycetota; Actinomycetes; Micrococcales; Microbacteriaceae.